CCUACGGGAGGCUGCAGUGGGGAAUAUUGGUCAAUGGGCGCAAGCCUGACCCAGCCACGCCGCGUGAAGGAAGAAGGCUUUCGGGUUGUAAACUUCUUUUCUCAGGGACGAAGAAAGUGACGGUACCUUCUGAAUCAGCCACGUCUAACUACGUGCAAUCAGCCGCGGUAAUACGUAUGUUGCAAUCGUUAUCCGGCUUUGUUGGGUGUAAAGGGCGUGUAGGCGGGAGCGCAAGUCAGAUGUGAAGACUCCGGGCUCAACCCUGGGCCUGCAUUUGAAACUGUGGUUCUUGAGUGCUGGAGAGGCAAGCGGAAUUCCGUGUGUAGCGGUGAAAUGCGUAGAUAUAAGGAGGAACACCAGUGGCGAAGGCGGAUUGCUGGACAGUAACUGACGCUGAGGCGCGAAAGCGUGGGGAGCAAACAGGAUUAGAUACCCUAGUAGUC
Molecule: ribosomal RNA, 443 nt
Filed under: uncultured bacterium
Lineage: Bacteria
Description: partial 16S ribosomal RNA
Rfam family: Bacterial small subunit ribosomal RNA
Source: RNAcentral